RNAcentral lists this ribosomal RNA (406 nucleotides) under uncultured bacterium. RNAcentral's name for it is "partial 16S ribosomal RNA". It matches the Rfam family "Bacterial small subunit ribosomal RNA", at positions 29 to 526 of the family's 1533-position model. The record is from RNAcentral.
AUUGAACGCUGGCGGCAGGCCUAACACAUGCAAGUCGAGCGAGCGGGGGAGGGGAGUGAAAUGUCUGGGAAACCGCGAGAGGGAGGGGGAUAAACACGGGAAACUGUAUCAAACCCCGCAAACCAUGAGGUGCGCCAAGAGGGGAUUAGCUAGUGGGUGGGGUAAUGGCUCACCUAGGCGACGAUCCCUAGCUGGUCUGAGAGGAUGACCAGCCACACUGGAACUGAGACACGGUCCAGACUCCUACGGGAGGCAGCAGUGGGGAAUAUUGCACAAUGGGCGCAAGCCUGAUGCAGCCAUGCCGCGUGUGUGAAGAAGGCCUUCGGGUUGUAAAGCACUUUCAGCGGGGAGGCGUUACCCGCAGAAGAAGCACCGGCUAACUCCGUGCCAGCAGCCGCGGUAAUAC